This 75-nucleotide transfer RNA is filed under the name Acidobacteriota bacterium. RNAcentral's name for it is "Acidobacteria bacterium (groundwater metagenome) tRNA-Leu". It matches the Rfam family "tRNA". From Rfam's summary of the family: Transfer RNA (tRNA) molecules are approximately 80 nucleotides in length. Their secondary structure includes four short double-helical elements and three loops (D, anti-codon, and T loops). Lineage: Bacteria; Pseudomonadati; Acidobacteriota. The record is from RNAcentral.
CGUGCCCUGUAAGUGAUUGAUAUUUCUUGCUUGGGGUGCAAGAGGUCGUGAGUUCAAAUCUCACCGGCCCGACCA